CCUACGGGAGGCAGCAGUGAGGAAUAUUGGUCAAUGGCCGAGAGCCUGAACCAGCCAAGUAGCGUGAAGGAAGACGGCCCUACGGGUUGUAAACCUCUUUUGUCGAGGAGCAAAGCGAGUCACGUGUGACUCAUUGAAAGUAUCCGAAGAAUAAGGAUCGGCUAACUCCGUGCCAGCAGCCGCGGUAAUACGGAGGAUGCGAGCGUUAUCCGGAUUUAUUGGGUUUAAAGGGUGCGCAGAGGGAGGGGCAAGUCAGCGGUAAAAUUGUGGGGCUCAACCCAAUAAUGCAGUUGAAACUGGGUGCCUUGAGUACGGUAGAAGUAUGCGGAAUGCGUGGUGUAGCGGUGAAAUGCAUAGAUAUCACGAAGAACUCCGAUUGCGAAGGCAGCAUACUGGAGCGCCACUGACGCUGAUGCACGAAAGUGUGGGUAUCGAACAGGAUUAGAUACCCGUGUAGUC
This 459-nucleotide ribosomal RNA is filed under the name uncultured bacterium. RNAcentral describes it as "partial 16S ribosomal RNA". It matches the Rfam family "Bacterial small subunit ribosomal RNA", at positions 338 to 795 of the family's 1533-position model. The record is from RNAcentral.